RNAcentral lists this long non-coding RNA (422 nucleotides) under Anser brachyrhynchus (Pink-footed goose). RNAcentral's name for it is "lncRNA (ENSABRG00000004720.1)". Lineage: Eukaryota; Metazoa; Chordata; Aves; Anseriformes; Anatidae. The record is from RNAcentral.
GCGAUGCUCGUCACUUGAUUAAGCCAAACUAAUGAGGCACGACCGGGGCCAAUGGGAACGUGUGGGACUCAGGCCUUGCAAAAUCUGGUGGAAACCUGCAGCAUUCACUGGGGGCUGGGUUUUGUUUUGCCAGGCAGAGCCUCAGGAUGCCACGGGGCGGAUGUGCGGUAACAGGUGCUGUCGUACAAAUGAACCUUGUGGAGAGGGUUUGCCAUCACCAGCAGCAGCACCCCCCAAAUUGCCUUCUUCCAGCAGUAAUUACAUGACUUGCUGUUUUGGAGAACCUGAUAGAGAAGUUGCCUGUACUUUCCCCUGUACUUUACCUGCUUGUACGUUCCAGGUCAGAGGAGGUUUGCAUUUUUGUCAUAUUGCAAUACUUGCCUUUAUGUAAGUGCUGCUAAGAAUAAAAUUAUCAGUGGGAG